Molecule: unclassified non-coding RNA, 377 nt
Filed under: uncultured Pseudomonadota bacterium
Lineage: Bacteria; Pseudomonadati; Pseudomonadota
Description: uncultured proteobacterium contains 16S-23S intergenic spacer region
Source: RNAcentral
UCCGGCUUGUCACCGGCAGUCCCUUCAGAGUGCCCAACUAAAUGGUAGCAACUAAGGACGGGGGUUGCGCUCGUUGCGGGACUUAACCCAACAUCUCACGACACGAGCUGACGACAGCCAUGCAGCACCUGUCUCAUGGUUCCUUACGGCACUCCCACAUCUCUGCGGGAUUCCAUGGAUGUCAAGACCAGGUAAGGUUCUUCGCGUUGCAUCGAAUUAAACCACAUGCUCCACCGCUUGUGCGGGCCCCCGUCAAUUUCUUUGAGUUUUAACCUUGCGGCCGUACUCCCCAGGCGGGAUACUUAACGCGUUAGCUUCGGCACUGAAGGGGUCAAUACCUCCAACACCAAGUAUCCAUCGUUUACGGCGUGGACUAC